UACUCAUCCAUCUUAACGAGGUGUCCAGGACCGAAUGAAUAAUAGUUUCAAAUGAUCAAAUUGUGAAUUCUUUUUGUCAUCAGAGUGAAAAGGUCAGUGGCCUUUGACAUGGCAUGAGCCACUGAGUGAAUCCAGGGAAACGACACCACCAGAAAGAAAGACAGAGAACAGAGCUGUGCUUAAAACAACUUCAGAAUUGCAACAACCUCCAAGCAAACAUCAAGGUCCUCCAAGCAGAGUUGUUGGUUUUUCCAUUCAAUCAAUGCAGUGGAUUACCAAUGAAGAACUUCACAGAAGAAAUGUAGUAUAAGGAGGAAUUUGACUAGAAGAUGGCUGACGGGGUGCAGUAGGAAACUGUUCCAAGCAAAUGAGGUAGCAUGGAAGAAGCAUGAAGACAAGACUGGAGACGGCAGAUAAUAUUCAAUGCCUACAAUAAGUCUUGAUGACUGCAUGUCAUAUUUUAAUAUCACUUUUAUUAUCCCUGAUUUAUUACAAUAAAAAGUGACUUUUUAAAAAAAUGAAAAAUAGGCAAAUGAGAAUGUGGAGACUUUUCCUGUUUUAAUGGCACUGUUACAUAAUGUCUUGGGUGAGGGGGAGAGUUUCUUGUGAGUAAGUUUUUACUGUAAGAAGAAAGGCUGUGGUGCUGAUGGUUUUCUGAUGUAGUCUCCUUGGGGGAGUUCUGGCAAGCAGCAACAAUAUUUGUUCUCUGCCUGAAUCUCUCUAACUAGAGUUAAUCCUUGAAGCACCGUUGCUCCCUGGGAACUGAGCAAUGAUGUUGGACCAAGAUCCUUGAAAGAAGGGAUUGCCUGCAUACUGUUGUGACUACCUGUGUUCUAGGACUGGUGUAUCUAUGUAAAUAAAACAAGUU
Molecule: long non-coding RNA, 868 nt
Organism: Chelonia mydas (Green sea turtle)
Lineage: Eukaryota; Metazoa; Chordata; Testudines; Cheloniidae
Exons: 4
Source: RefSeq, a predicted model, not a curated record